Molecule: small nuclear RNA, 107 nt
Organism: Python bivittatus (Burmese python)
Lineage: Eukaryota; Metazoa; Chordata; Lepidosauria; Squamata; Pythonidae
Source: RefSeq, a predicted model, not a curated record
GAGCUGAAGAGAAACCAGCACAUACAAUAGCAUUGUAAGGAUACAGAGAAGAUUAGUUUGGCCCCUGAACAAGGAUAACAAAAAAUAAUGAAAUUAACAUUAGUAUU